This 810-nucleotide ribosomal RNA is filed under the name Mycobacterium sp. FL03-89-6B. Its description in RNAcentral is "bacterial SSU rRNA". It matches the Rfam family "Bacterial small subunit ribosomal RNA", at positions 162 to 982 of the family's 1533-position model. The record is from RNAcentral. Lineage: Bacteria; Bacillati; Actinomycetota; Actinomycetes; Mycobacteriales; Mycobacteriaceae.
UCUAAUACCGGAAUAGGACCACAUUACGCAUGUUUUGUGGUGGAAAGCUUUUGCGGUGUGGGAUGGGCCCGCGGCCUAUCAGCUUGUUGGUGGGGUGAUGGCCCACCAAGGCGACGACGGGUAGCCGGCCUGAGAGGGUGUCCGGCCACACUGGGACUGAGAUACGGCCCAGACUCCUACGGGAGGCAGCAGUGGGGAAUAUUGCACAAUGGGCGAAAGCCUGAUGCAGCGACGCCGCGUGGGGGAUGACGGCCUUCGGGUUGUAAACCUCUUUCAGCAGGGACGAAGCGCAAGUGACGGUACCUGCAGAAGAAGCACCGGCCAACUACGUGCCAGCAGCCGCGGUAAUACGUAGGGUGCGAGCGUUGUCCGGAAUUACUGGGCGUAAAGAGCUCGUAGGUGGUUUGUCGCGUUGUUCGUGAAAUCUCACGGCUUAACUGUGAGCGUGCGGGCGAUACGGGCAGACUUGAGUACUGCAGGGGAGACUGGAAUUCCUGGUGUAGCGGUGGAAUGCGCAGAUAUCAGGAGGAACACCGGUGGCGAAGGCGGGUCUCUGGGCAGUAACUGACGCUGAGGAGCGAAAGCGUGGGGAGCGAACAGGAUUAGAUACCCUGGUAGUCCACGCCGUAAACGGUGGGUACUAGGUGUGGGUUUCCUUCCUUGGGAUCCGUGCCGUAGCUAACGCAUUAAGUACCCCGCCUGGGGAGUACGGCCGCAAGGCUAAAACUCAAAGAAAUUGACGGGGGCCCGCACAAGCGGCGGAGCAUGUGGAUUAAUUCGAUGCAACGCGAAGAACCUUAUCCUGGGUUU